AUAGCUUUCAUCAGUUCUGUUAAGGCUUGGAACCUAUCUCUCUCAUUUUGUGGAUUAUUUGCUUGUCCACUCAUCUUGUAUUAAGCUGCAAAAUAAAGUAAGUAAAGCAAAAGAAUAGUUCCUCACUUCACUCGCUCACGUGUUUCACUCAAAUAAUGGUAUCACUCAAUUUCACUCUGUGUUUAAAUUUUGGCUUUUCUCUAGAUGAACUCACACUCAGCCUUUUACCACUCCAAUUCUCUUGUU
This 246-nucleotide long non-coding RNA is filed under the name Carica papaya (papaya). Its description in RNAcentral is "long non-coding RNA (CPAP_LNC016012)". Lineage: Eukaryota; Viridiplantae; Streptophyta; Magnoliopsida; Brassicales; Caricaceae. The record is from RNAcentral.